RNAcentral lists this long non-coding RNA (856 nucleotides) under Olea europaea subsp. europaea. The record is from RNAcentral. Lineage: Eukaryota; Viridiplantae; Streptophyta; Magnoliopsida; Lamiales; Oleaceae.
CUAGAAUGCAGCAUAAGGAUUACCGUAGUCCUCUCUUUGGUUUUCUGACUGCUGCUCACUUGAAGCACCAAACACAACAUUGUGACUACCCUAACUUGCAACAUCACUUGAAGAAACCGUAGAAUCUGAUAAAAACUUUGAAAUUGAAGAAAUUAUUCUCACUGUCUUAGCCUUUGCUACAUGAGAAACCUAAGUAUAUUUUUGGAAACAAUGGCAAGUCCAACUCCAUGUUUCAUUAGCUAUGCCCGGCCUUCGUCACAACCACAUAGCUGAUCCAAUAUUAUCAAAAUAAGCUCACAAGCCCUUCUUUCAGAUGUGAAUCUCUAUUAGUGCGGAAACUAAGCCUGACUCGAUCGCUUUGAUUCAGUUCUUCUUCCUCACAGACAUAGCUCCACAAGGAGCUUCAAUGCUGCCUUGGAAGCUUGGUGCAAGGCAGAUUUAAGUAUCAUUAUUGCAUGAGCUCGAAAUUGGUAAUUCCCGCAUUUCAAUACGUGAAAUAAACCCUCCAAGAGUUGAUCGUCAUUUCAUAAGAUUUUCCUCAAAACUGGAUCUGAGAUUUCUAGAUGAUAAAGAAUGUUCAAUACCUCGUCACUUUCCAUACCAAAGUCUGAAUCUUGAUCCCUAUCGAAUACUAAAUAUUCAACUGUACCAGCAGCUUCGAAAUGCCUUCUACUGCUUUCGUUGAGUCGUUGCAGGCAUUGACCAUUGCCUUAGGAGUUGGAAUUGAUUCGAUGAAUUGGGAGUGCACCAGGCCUGAAUCAAUCGACGGAGAGUGUGGUUAGGAGUUAGAUCCGUUUUUUAUACUUGUUUUUUGACUGGACGUGUAAAUUUGGCUCAACUUCAAAGGAAAAGAAAG